CUUCUCCCGGAAAAGCUUUGCUUUGGUUUUUGUGACCUACAUUUGUAGGACUGCUAAUUAGCAAGCAGCCCUGGGAUCUGCUGUCCCUCAAUGGCUCUGCUGCUUUGGGGUAUGAAGCAAAACAGAAAACAACUUGCCAAAAUCUGAAUGGAAGUAGCUACCUUCUACUGGCUGACAUCUUUAAGUGAACCACGUGGUACAAAAAGACUUCAUAACUGCAGAUCUUUCCAUACAUUGCAUUCAUAUCUUAAUCUGGCACUAUUGAAGUUAAUGUGAGAAGGAUCAAGCAAGGGGUGAAAUGAGUGGUCAUCUCAGUUACCAGUGGUGACUCAGCUCUGCCACUAAAGGUGAUAUCCAUGGAGCUGCAUCUCCAGUCCCAGGGAGAGCGGUUACACAGGUCUUUCUCAGCAGCAGGACUGCAUUAUGCAGCCAUCAUCCUGGUUGCUCAUUCCUGUCCUUUCAUUCUACCACCACUUUGAAGAUACAGCUGGUGAACAAGACAUGGAGCAUUUUCCAGGUUUCCAAUGAAAAACAAUCUGAUAGAAAAUUUCACCUAACGCUUGUAAAUACCUGGUUCAGAUUCUGACCCCUUCCAAAUCUUCAAGAAUGUGAUACUUUACAUUUCAACAUUACAGCCUGCUGCCAUGAAUUUAAAUCUCUGCUGGACAUUCAAGACUACAAAGAAUGCACAGAACUUCACAUCUCACUGGCUUUAGCUUGGAAUGAAGUUCUGUGUUGACUGAAGACUGUUGUCAUGAUCCUCUGCAGAGGGAGAAAAAGAAUUUUGUGGUAGCUGGAUUGGAAGUGGAGGGAUCAAAACAGCAACCAAAAUAGAAAAGAUAGAAAUAAAUGAUUCUGCUGCCUCA
RNAcentral lists this long non-coding RNA (866 nucleotides) under Struthio camelus australis. Its description in RNAcentral is "lncRNA (ENSSCUG00000004837.1)". The record is from RNAcentral. Lineage: Eukaryota; Metazoa; Chordata; Aves; Struthioniformes; Struthionidae.